This 265-nucleotide ribosomal RNA is filed under the name uncultured bacterium. Its description in RNAcentral is "partial 16S ribosomal RNA". It matches the Rfam family "Bacterial small subunit ribosomal RNA", at positions 793 to 1055 of the family's 1533-position model. The record is from RNAcentral.
GUCCACGCCGUAAACGAUGAAUGCUAGGUGUUAGGGGUUUCAAUACCCUUGGUGCCGAAGUUAACACAUUAAGCAUUCCGCCUGGGGAGUACGCUCGCAAGAGUGAAACUCAAAGGAAUUGACGGGGACCCCGCACAAGCAGUGGAGUAUGUGGUUUAAUUCGAAGCAACGCGAAGAACCUUACCAGGUCUUGACAUCCUCUUGAAUACAUUAGAGAUAGUGUAGGCCUUCGGGACAAGAGAGACAGGUGGUGCAUGGUUGUCGU